Molecule: long non-coding RNA, 3184 nt
Organism: Lycium barbarum (goji berry)
Lineage: Eukaryota; Viridiplantae; Streptophyta; Magnoliopsida; Solanales; Solanaceae
Exons: 4
Source: RefSeq, a predicted model, not a curated record
AAAGCAAGGCUAUUGGUUAAUAGACAAGUGAGCUUUGAAAACCUUUGUUAGAGAAAGGGAAAUCCCAAUAGGCAAGUCAUAUGGACACUCAACCAAACAACCUUACAAUAGUUUUGGUUCCUAAAAAAGGGUCUUUCAACAUAUUUUAGACUAAUCCAAGGCCUUUCCUAAAGAACAGAAAGGGAGGAAGAGAAAAGCAAGAAAUGGAUUUACAACAUGAUCACAGUUUUGGCAAAUAAGGAAACCAAACAUCACAUAAAGAACAAGUCUAAACCAAUAAACCAAGUGGUUCUGAUGUGUUGCAGUUUUGUUACAACACUGAAUUUGAUUAGAGAUCUGCAUUCCUCUUAUGGCUUAUUUGCAGGAAUUGUCUGAAAGAAAUUGAAUUUUGAAAGAGUGCUUGGAUAUGGUUUCCUAUUAUUAUUUCAAUUAAGCGAGAUCUUUUUCAAUAUACUUGCAUUUAUGUCUAUCAGAAAAUGAUAUUUCAUAAAGUUUAGUCUAUCUGUAUUAGUUGCACCAAAAGCAAUAUAAAUUGUACAAAAAAGAGGGACGAACAAGGGCAAUUUGGGGAUAUCAAAUAUUAUUAAUUUGUGCAUCAGUGUACACGUGUACUACAUUCUAUAAACAUGUCUCCUCUUGCUGAACUAAAUUAAAAGACCUAAUCACUACUAUCGCGCAUUGUAGAACAACAAUUCCCUUUAUCUUUCUCUUCCACCUUCAAUUCCAUCGCCAUGCAUAAAUUUUUCUGUUCGAGUUUGCUGAUGUUGGAUUUUUAUUCUGCAACAAUUUUGGAAUAGAUAAAUGCUGAUAAUCAAAUCAAAAUUGAUGAUUGAGUUGUUACAAAGCCGAGUUUAUGUAAAUGAGAGGAAUUGGGUUCGUAAAUUGCUUUGUAGUUGAUACCCUCUUCGGACAUUCUGUGCUCCUCAUGUAGCAUUUUUUCAUUUGAAACAUCUAUGGAUGCACUCUCCAAAAUUCAUAAUGAAAAGGUUCUACACUUUAUAAGUGCGUAAAUAGAGUUAUGGCGACAUGUCUCGCUAGAUCCCUAGGAAUUGGUGUUCAUGGGUUGCAAGUCAAUCUGGAGAAAGAUUUGAACUUGUUAUUCUCCAAGCUUAAGUCUUCCACUUAGAUUACGAGACUAUGAAUGAUCUUACGUAGAUUGCAAGACAAGAAGUAAGUUGGAAAGUGAAAAGUAAGCUUCCAGGUAUGUAAGGCAAACCUUUCUUCCUUUGGCAUGAUUCUUGUUGUUAUUCAUUAUGUACUCCAUAUGAUUCCAUUCUUAGACAAGUAAGGUCUAAAUGUUUUCCUGUGAUGGCUUAUUGAUAUUAUACUCCUAUUUUGUUCCGAAGGGAACACCCAUAAGGUGCCAAGUUGAGUUGUGUAUAUGGUUUUACUAAUUAUUUCAAGGAAAUGAGUUUUAUACUAAAGGAAACAUAAAGUUUGAUUUUCAAGAUCACUCCUAAGGGGGUGCGAGGUUUUACUACUUCUUUUCAUUUACGAUUUAUGUCUACAUUCCAUAGUAUCAUCCCUUUGUAUUGUUAUGAUCAUUUAUUCUUUGGGUAGGGAAAUAAGAUGAAAUUGAGUAGAAUAUAAGUAGUAAGAAUUUCAUAACAAUUCUACCCUCAAACCUGGAAGUAUGUCCUCCUAAGUCUAGUGAGAUACAAAUUUGAUAGCUUCUUAUGAAAAACUAAGGCUAAUAACUGGAUUGUGAUGAAUUGAGUAGUGACUUAUGAUAUGAAUUGAAAUUGAUAUUUGUGGAUUGAUUUUGUGUUGAUAUGAUGGUGAUAUUAAGUCGGAAGCGCCUCCCCGAAGGGGCCAUCAUUAUUAAGCCGGAAGCGGAUGCCCGAUGGGGCCAUCAUUAUUAUGCCGGAAGCGGCCGUCCGAAGGGAGUAUUGUGAUACUAGCCGGAAGCGGCUGUUUGAAGGGACUAUUCUGUUAACAUGUCAGAAACGGCAUGUGUGUUGGAUUGCAUUAUUUACUUAAAGAUUGUUUAAGACUUCGUGUGGACAUUUAUGUUUCUUCCAGCGAAGGCUGCAGGUAUUGAGUUAGAUUGUGAUUUCUUCUCUCCUAAGUCUAAUUAUUAUUAUGACUUGUUACCACCUUACAUACUCAGUACAUUGUCCGUACUGACGUCCUUUUGCCUGGGGACGCUGCGUUCAUGCCCGCAGCUCUAGAUUGUUUGACAGGUUAAGAGUAUAGCUAAGAUGCUUGGACGUCAGCUGGUAUUGGCAAGUUCCACCUCAUUCUGGAGCUAUGUUGAGUCAUGUAUAGAUAUGUAUGAUUAUGGGUAUGUCAGGGCCCUGUCCUGACUCAUAAUAUUCAGUUUACUUCUUAGAUACUUCUGCAGAUAGUAUCCUGUGGUAUGUUUGUCGAGAUGUCGACAAAGUGAUGUCAGUUGAGUCAUUUGUGGAUUUUAAAAAAGUAUGUAUUUUAGAUGAUUUCAAUUGGUUUAAAGUACUUAUUUGAUUGAAAGUUUUCAUAAUUAUUAUAAAGAUAAUGAUUUUUAUUUGGAAAAGUUUUAUGUUCUUAAUGUUUUUGAAAUGACAGGUUUUGAUAGAGCGAAUGUCUGAGGGUUCACUCGACUCUGGUGAGAGUCGGGUGCCCGUCAUGCCCUAUCAGGAUUGGGGUGUGACAGCUUACUCACAAGGAUGCUUGAAACUGAUAUUACAAUGGAUGGGCAUGAGAAUUCAGAACGCAAACACUCCAAGGACUAUGGAGAAGAAUGUCAAGGAAGAUUAGGGGGAAGAAAUGCCGAGGCUUUGUUCUAGCAGUAUUGACAGCUCUAGUAUACAACAUAUGGAAAGCACGGAAUGAAGCACAUUGGAAUCAAAAAGUCUACAUCCAAAUGUCAUACAAGAUCAAAUUCAGAGGGAAUGCCGGAUUAAAGUAUAUAAUCAUAUAGAUAGAAGAAUGAAUAGACAGGGAUGAGAAUGGAUACAAAGCUUAUACUGUGGAAGUAACACACUGAUAGGAUAUAGAAUAGAUUCAGGUUUGGCCCUUGAGGUGUGUACAGUUACAUUUGUGUAUGUUGUUUGUUCUGGUGAGUAACAAAAUUUUUUCGUUCCCAAAAAAUGAAACGCCGUAUAUAUUGGUGGGAAUUAUAAUAUAAGGAUCAAUAAUGUAGGAAUUCAUGUGAUGCAUGAAUUAACAAUGCAACAAUUGUAUAUUAUAUAAAAUAAUUAAUUAA